This 317-nucleotide ribosomal RNA is filed under the name uncultured bacterium. RNAcentral describes it as "bacterial SSU rRNA". It matches the Rfam family "Bacterial small subunit ribosomal RNA", at positions 28 to 334 of the family's 1533-position model. The record is from RNAcentral.
GACGAACGCUGGCGGCGUGCCUAAUACAUGCAAGCCGAGCGGACCGAUGGGAGCUUGCUCCUUUAGGUUAGCGGCGGACGGGUGAGUAACACGUGGGCAACCUGCCCUGCAGACUGGGAUAACUUCGGGAAACCGGAGCUAAUACCGGAUAACACCGAAAACCGCAUGGUUUUCGGUUGAAAGGCGGCUUUUAGCUGUCACUGCAGGAUGGGCCCGCGGCGCAUUAGCUAGUUGGUAAGGUAACGGCUUACCAAGGCGACGAUGCAUAGCCGAGUUGAGAGACUGAUCGGCCACAUUGGGACUGAGACACGGCCCAA